This 3750-nucleotide long non-coding RNA is filed under the name Bemisia tabaci. Its description in RNAcentral is "lncRNA ENSSWEETPG011285". The record is from RNAcentral. Lineage: Eukaryota; Metazoa; Arthropoda; Insecta; Hemiptera; Aleyrodidae.
UCAUUAACAAACGGUUCAUUUUUUAGACUCCAGGAGGAAAUAACAAAUCUCUACCAAAUUUGAAAGACUUGACAUAUCUAUCUGAAGAAGAAAUACUCAAAGUCAAUGGAGAAUCAAGCUCUUUACAAUCAAAUAUUGAGAAUGCAAUAAAGAAAUGAAUCAUUUCCUUUAUAUGAAUAAACAAAAAGUACAGACUUGUGGAAAUUUAACGUCAUGGAAGCCAAACAACUUAUGAGUGAGGCAGUGAACUUCAAUGUGUUCCUUUGAGAAUAUAAAGAGAAUAUUCUUUUAGAAUUUUCUAGAAUUUUCCUAAGUAUUUUAUUAAUUACUUUAGCUUUUUUUUAAUUUGUUUUGUUGUUUUUGUUUUUGUGUCUUUAAGAAAAAAAAUUCUAUCUUUGUUUAUUAAUGCAUUCCUUCUUUGGUAAAGCAUAGCCUUUGGAUUUCCAUAUUCUGUUAGCUAAUUUAAAAUCAAAUAGUUUGAACAACUCAUUUUAUGCAGCAUCAAGACCUCUAUUUGCACCUCAAAUAUUUUUCUUGUCAUUUUGUACAUUUUUUUAAUCAAAAUUCAUACCUCUUUUCUUGUGCAGAUUUUGUCAAUAGACAGAUCAAUUCAUGAGCAACAACUGAAUUGUCCAUGGGUCCCUCCGACUCCAGUCCUUUGUCUGAUGAAUUCGAUGUGCUUGCUAAAAAAAUAUGUGGAUCUCAAGAUACACGAUCUGAUGAUUGUGAUAUCUACUCAUCUGCUGGCAAUGGAUUCAAUGCACACCAAAAAAAGAUGGCCAAGUUGAUUUUAGAAAAUUGUGUGAUGAAACUGGAUUUCUAUUAGACAAAAACAUCGAAAACUUACUGACCACUUAUCCACCAGAGAAAAGAAUUCUUGUUAAACUUGAGACCAUUUUCAAGAUGCUCGGAAUCAACUCAGAAGAAGACAUAAAAGCGCUCAAAAGAUAUUUCUUGCCGUAUGCAGUAUGCACUGAUUGCUCCCAGCGGCAAAUGCAAUCUGAAGCAGUCAACAGAAAAGCACUAGGAGACAAGAAAAAGUUUCAAACAUCCUCAUUGCCAAAUCUUUGUGCUCUUACCGAUGAUGAGAAAUGGAAGCUGCUCCAUCCUUCGGAGAGAAAGGCUGUCUCCGACAGUAAUCUGAAUUUUUGGUCUUCCGAAGAUAAAAAAGUUAGACUCUUGGAUUCGGCCCAAGAGAAACCAAAAUCUAGUUGUUUCGAUGAGCUGCAUUCUUUCGAUUUAGAACCUGCGAAUGUUUUAAAAGGAUUGACGAUUUUAUACAACAUUUCCAUGCAAUAAAACAACGUAAGUUUUUAACUCUUUUAAAGUUAUUUCUCCUUCCUUUUGAGGCUGUUCAUGGGAGGUCCCAAUUCCUUAUAAGUAAAAAAAUGGCACUGCCGAUAUGAUGGUCUCCUAAGUUGAUACAUCACAUUAUCACAUCUUGGUUUUACGUAAACUUACAUGUAUGCUUCUCCUCACGUUGUUCAGAUCCACAAACUACUUUGAGGAUGAUGCCUUCUCUUAUGAUCAAUCCAGCUUUAAGAUGACUUCUUUACCUCCAGAUGAUGUCAAAAAAUAUUGGGAACAAGUACAAAGCAUUUUCGCCAAAGACCGGGAACAACUUUGGAAUGCCUUGACCGUAGGACUUAGUAAAUACUUCAAGAUAUUGAAAGGUAUUGAUUUGGAUCUACUGGAACUUAAUCUUUCGCUCUGCUGUAUCAAACUAGCUUUCCAAUAAUUUCACAUUUUUACGAAGUUUACAUUCAUUACGAAUAUCAUUGUUAAUACUGUCCCUCCGAAGCUGUCCAUUCAUUGUAAUUUCUCCAAUGACACUUAUAAAGAGUGUGUCUCCUGUUAUCUGUAGUUACUUUCGUGAGUAAAUCCAUUUAAACAAUAAUCAUCGUGGAUUAUUUGAUACUUCUAGGAAAUCGACACAAAGAAUGGAAAUCUUACAACAAAAUAUUGAAGUUUUGCCUUAUCAAAGCAGAAUAUUCAAAGAAAGGUUUCGUCCGGUAAUACUUUUUUUAUCUUCUCCUCUUUUCAGACAGGCAGAAGGUGAGAUCAGAAAUUCAUAUUCUAGAAAAAGAAAACAAAGAGUUGAAAAACUUCUCGGAAAACACCUCGGCCACUCCAAGGUAGCAUGUUGUCAAUUUACUCUGAAUUUUAUACAUCCAUAAUCUUAGUAUUUAAGUGAUAAAUCCCUCAUUUUUUCCAAUUUCAGUUUACCUUUUUACUGAAUUUUCCUUAUAAUUUUACAAUGCUCUAAAAAUUAUAGAAAAUUCAUCCCAUGGUUUCCACACUAAAAUAUAAAUUAGCGAUGAAUAUUCUGAAACAGUUCAACCAAGAACUGCCCUUCCUGCUUUCAGCGUCUGAAUCAUGUGGAUUUUAUGGGAGGUACCGCAAUCCGUGUUCAAAGUCAUACCUGCAGGGUUGCCACGAUCAGGGAAUUCACGGAAAACCUGGAAAAGUCAGGGGGAAAAAAGUGCUCUGGGAAACCUGGAAAAGUCAGGGAAUUUGACCAAAAACAGCUAAAAGUCAGGGAAAAAUUGAAAAUUUUCACGAGUUGCUUAAAAUUUCAAAAGAACAAUCGUUCAAAAGUUUUCAUUUCUAAAACAAUUAUUGGGUUGCUCAAGAAAGUCAAAAGCAUCAAAAUUAAAAGAAAUAGUUAACAACCCUUUUUGUAUUUCCAAACGUUCUACAAUUAAUUUCUGACUCCUUAGCUUAAGCGCGUUUCAAAUGAGACGCUAUAUUAGUGCGAUGGUAGCUAGCAAGGUGUAAAUUUGGCUGUGCAAUCAUGGCGUGCGUUCUCAAAAGUCAGGGAAUUUCUCCAUUUUUCGUCAGGGAAAACCUGGAAAAGUCAGGGAAAAUCAUUUCCAAAUUUUUGUGGCAACCCUGUACCUAAGAUGGAGCUUUCACUUGCUGUGCUGCUUACCUUACAAUCUACGAGUUGUGCAUAACUCAUCUUGGAUUCAUUUUUUGAGCAUUACAUAACCCUAUAUUCUUUCUAAAUUCCAAAUUUUGAAAAGUAACUGUAUUUUUCAAUAGUUUACCUUUUUUUUCUCGUUUUCUUUCCAGGUGAAAACUGCACCAGUAAAAGUUGUUUUCCACCUCUUCAAGAGCCAAGGGCAAAAAGCGCUACAAUAAUCAAUUACACGUGUUUGAAGAACUUACCAAUCUGUGAUAUUUGUGCAAACACUGUGUACCUCAAGUUAUAUUAUUUUUAUUAAAGAAAAUCGAACCGUUCUCCAUAUUCUGUUUUUUUUUCUCUAUUUAUUAUCGGCAUUGCAUCUCGUUUUGGAGUGAAUAGUAUCAAAAAUAUUUUAAAUCUAUACAUUGGGCAUUGGAAUAUGCAGAAUGUCUAUCCUAUUCCAACAGUUCGUUUGAAUAAGAAGAGUUACUCUAUUUUAUAGGAAAUUUCUUAGAAUUUUCCUCUUUGUGGACAUUGAAGGUGUAGAUGUAGAAGUUCAAUCAUGUUUGCAUGUUUUUGUGUUCAACCAGGUGUGCAGAAAUUUUUCAAAAUGCUGAUUUUUUGUCGUGAUCAGACAUUUUUCCUGUUUGCCUCACAGCCUUGCUUUUAGUAUUGCCAAGUAAACAUUUUAUUUUUUUAUAGGAGAAUCGUCACAUAAAUUUGCUCGUGAGAUUACUUACCAGUGAUUUCACUUUACCCUUUGAGAAAAGACACCAAAAUUUUUCGGACGAAAUUGUGAGACGAUGCUCUCAUGAAAAUAUGAAAUGUUUGCAUGCAGACUU